AAUCCAUAGGUUAAUGAGGCGAACCGGGGGAACUGAAACAUCUAAGUACCCCGAGGAAAAGAAAUCAACCGAGAUUCCCCCAGUAGCGGCGAGCGAACGGGGAGGAGCCCAGAGCCUGAAUCAGCAUGUGUGUUAGUGGAAGCGUCUGGAAAGGCGCGCGAUACAGGGUGACAGCCCCGUACACAAAAGCGCAUGUGCUGUGAGCUCGAUGAGUAGGGCGGGACACGUGGUAUCCUGUCUGAAUAUGGGGGGACCAUCCUCCAAGGCUAAAUACUCCUGACUGACCGAUAGUGAACCAGUACCGUGAGGGAAAGGCGAAAAGAACCCCGGCGAGGGGAGUGAAAAAGAACCUGAAACCGUGUACGUACAAGCAGUGGGAGCACAGGUUUACCUGUGUGACUGCGUACCUUUUGUAUAAUGGGUCAGCGACUUAUAUUCUGUAGCAAGGUUAACCGUAUAGGGGAGCCGUAGGGAAACCGAGUCUUAAC
This 488-nucleotide ribosomal RNA is filed under the name Salmonella enterica subsp. enterica serovar Muenchen. RNAcentral's name for it is "partial 23S ribosomal RNA". It matches the Rfam family "Bacterial large subunit ribosomal RNA", at positions 161 to 688 of the family's 2925-position model. The record is from RNAcentral. Lineage: Bacteria; Pseudomonadati; Pseudomonadota; Gammaproteobacteria; Enterobacterales; Enterobacteriaceae. RNAcentral also lists the same sequence under 6 other names.